Molecule: ribosomal RNA, 462 nt
Filed under: Ralstonia pickettii
Lineage: Bacteria; Pseudomonadati; Pseudomonadota; Betaproteobacteria; Burkholderiales; Burkholderiaceae
Description: bacterial SSU rRNA
Rfam family: Bacterial small subunit ribosomal RNA
Source: RNAcentral
AAUCCCCGAGCUCAACUUGGGAAUUGCAUUGGUGACUGCCCGGCUAGAGUGUGGCAGAGGGGGGUAGAAUUCCACGUGUAGCAGUGAAAUGCGUAGAGAUGUGGAGGAAUACCGAUGGCGAAGGCAGCCCCCCUGGGAUAACACUGACGCUCAUGCACGAAAGCGUGGGGAGCAAACAGGAUUAGAUACCCUGGUAGUCCACGCCCUAAACGAUGUCAACUAGUUGUUGGGGAUUCAUUUCCUUAGUAACGUAGCUAACGCGUGAAGUUGACCGCCUGGGGAGUACGGUCGCAAGAUUAAAACUCAAAGGAAUUGACGGGGACCCGCACAAGCGGUGGAUGAUGUGGAUUAAUUCGAUGCAACGCGAAAAACCUUACCUACCCUUGACAUGCCACUAACGAAGCAGAGAUGCAUUAGGUGCUCGAAAGAGAAAGUGGACACAGGUGCUGCAUGGCUGUCGUC